UGAAAAUCUUUAGCUCAGUUGGAGGGUAGAGUGUCUGCUUUAUAUGCACAAGGUCCCAGGUUCAAAACCCAUCAUGUUCAA
This is a non-coding RNA of Podarcis lilfordi (Lilford's wall lizard), 81 nucleotides long. NCBI's taxonomy places the organism in Eukaryota, Metazoa, Chordata, Lepidosauria, Squamata, Lacertidae. The record is from the annotation of a GenBank genome assembly.